This 391-nucleotide unclassified non-coding RNA is filed under the name soil metagenome. Its description in RNAcentral is "partial contains 5.8S ribosomal RNA, internal transcribed spacer 2, and large subunit ribosomal RNA". The stretch from base 1 to 122 matches the Rfam family "5.8S ribosomal RNA", at positions 35 to 154 of the family's 154-position model. The record is from RNAcentral.
GAUGAAGAACGUAGUGAAAUGCGAUACUUGGUGUGAAUUGCAGAAUCCCGAGAACCAUCGAGUCUUUGAACGCAAGUUGCGCCCGAAGCCACUAGGCCGAGGGCACGCCUGCCUGGGCGUCACACGCCGUUGCCCCCCCAUCUACUCCUUCGGGAUUGCGGGGGGGCGGAUGAUGGCCUCCCGUGCGCCUAGCCGCGCGGUUGGCAUAAAUACCAAGUCCUCGGCGACGCACGCCACGACAAUCGGUGGUUGCGAAACCUCGGUUGCCCGUCGUGUGCGUUCGUCGCGCAUCGAGGGCUCGAAAAAAUGCUCGGCUCCGGCUGGGCUUUCAACGCGACCCCAGGUCAGGCGGGGUUACCCGCUGAAUUUAAGCAUAUCAAUAAGCGGAGGA